CACGUAGGGUGCGAGCGUUGUCCGGAAUUAUUGGGCGUAAAGAGCUCGUAGGCGGUGUGUCGCGUCGGCCGUGAAAACCUGCAGCUUAACUGUGGGCGUGCGGGCGAUACGGGCAGACUAGAGUACUGCAGGGGAGACUGGAAUUCCUGGUGUAGCGGUGGAAUGCGCAGAUAUCAGGAGGAACACCGAUGGCGAAGGCAGGUCACUGGGCCGCAACUGACGCUGAGGAGCGAAAGCAUGGGGAGCGAACAGG
This 253-nucleotide ribosomal RNA is filed under the name uncultured bacterium. Its description in RNAcentral is "partial 16S ribosomal RNA". It matches the Rfam family "Bacterial small subunit ribosomal RNA", at positions 524 to 776 of the family's 1533-position model. The record is from RNAcentral.